RNAcentral lists this transfer RNA (69 nucleotides) under Symphurus plagiusa (blackcheek tonguefish). RNAcentral describes it as "tRNA-Ala". It matches the Rfam family "tRNA". From Rfam's summary of the family: Transfer RNA (tRNA) molecules are approximately 80 nucleotides in length. Their secondary structure includes four short double-helical elements and three loops (D, anti-codon, and T loops). Further hydrogen bonds mediate the characteristic L-shaped molecular structure. tRNAs have two regions of fundamental functional importance: the anti-codon, which is responsible for specific mRNA codon recognition, and the 3' end, to which the tRNAs corresponding amino acid is attached (by aminoacyl-tRNA synthetases). tRNAs cope with the degeneracy of the genetic code in two manners: having more than one tRNA (with a specific anti-codon) for a particular amino acid; and 'wobble' base-pairing, i.e. permitting non-standard base-pairing at the 3rd anti-codon position. Lineage: Eukaryota; Metazoa; Chordata; Actinopteri; Pleuronectiformes; Cynoglossidae. RNAcentral also lists the same sequence under 1 other name. The record is from RNAcentral.
GAGACCUUAGCUUAAUUAAAGCCUUUGCGUUGCAAGCAAAAGAUGUCGAUUAAAACUCUGCAGGUUUUA